AGGAUGAACGCUGGCGGCGUGCCUAACACAUGCAAGUCGAGCGGUAUAUAGUGGAAUGAAACUUCGGUCGAGUGAAGCUAUAGAGAGCGGCGGACGGGUGAGUAACGCGUAGGCAACCUGCCCCAUACAGAGGGAUAGCCUCGGGAAACCGGGAUUAAAACCUCAUAACGCGAGGAGUUCACAUGGACUACUCGCCAAAGAUUCAUCGGUAUGGGAUGGGCCUGCGUCUGAUUAGCUAGUUGGUGAGGUAACGGCUCACCAAGGCGACGAUCAGUAGCCGACCUGAGAGGGUAAUCGGCCACAUUGGAACUGAGACACGGUCCAAACUCCUACGGGAGGCAGCAGUGGGGAAUAUUGCACAAUGGGCGAAAGCCUGAUGCAGCAACGCCGCGUGAGCGAUGAAGGCCUUUGGGUCGUAAAGCUCUGUCCUUGGGGAAGAAACAAAUGACGGUACCCUUGGAGGAAGCCCCGGCUAACUACGUG
This 483-nucleotide ribosomal RNA is filed under the name uncultured bacterium. RNAcentral describes it as "bacterial SSU rRNA". It matches the Rfam family "Bacterial small subunit ribosomal RNA", at positions 26 to 507 of the family's 1533-position model. The record is from RNAcentral.